UUCAACUUGAAGUUCUUAAUUCUGGUCGCAGUCAUCCUGUGCUCUGCUCAGGAAUGCAUGGUCUCCGGUAACCCGGUGGCUGUUGCAGAUUCAGCCGUUAUCAGUCCUGAAGGCGGUUGUUCUUGUUGCAGGUGUUGCGGCUGUGGCGGUGCCAGUGGCUGUUGUCGUUGCAGUGGCUGAGAGUUUAUUAUUUGGGCUAAGCGAAAUUGACGCACUAAGAUAUGGAUCCGACUUGCGGAGUUAUUGAUUUAAAAUUUGUGAAUUUGUUGUCAUUAAAAUGUUGUUAAAUUUGAA
Long non-coding RNA from Drosophila innubila, 294 nucleotides. RefSeq lists it as uncharacterized. The record is from RefSeq and is a predicted model, not a curated record. The transcript has 2 exons. Lineage: Eukaryota; Metazoa; Arthropoda; Insecta; Diptera; Drosophilidae.